AUUGAACGCUGGCGGCAGGCCUAACACAUGCAAGUUGAAUGGUAACAGGAAACAGCUUGCUGUUUCGCUGACGAGUGGCGGACGGGUGAGUAAUGUCUGGGAAACUGCCUGAUGGAGGGGGAUAACUACUGGAAACGGUAGCUAAUACCGCAUAACGUCGCAAGACCAAAGAGGAGGACCUUCGGGCCUCUUGCCAUCAGAUGUGCCCAGAUGGGAUUAGCUAGUAGGUGGGGUAACGGCUCACCUAGGCGACGAUCCCUAGCUGGUCUGAGAGGAUGACCAGCCACACUGGAACUGAGACACGGUCCAGACUCCUACGGGAGGCAGCAGUGGGGAAUAUUGCACAAUGGGCGCAAGCCUGAUGCAGCCAUGCCGCGUGUAUGAAGAAGGCCUUCGGGUUGUAAAGUACUUUCGGCGGGGAGGAAGGGAGUAAAGUUAAUACCUUGGCGCAUUGACGUUACCCGAAGAAGAAGCACCGGCUAACUCCGUG
This 490-nucleotide ribosomal RNA is filed under the name uncultured bacterium. Its description in RNAcentral is "partial 16S ribosomal RNA". It matches the Rfam family "Bacterial small subunit ribosomal RNA", at positions 30 to 507 of the family's 1533-position model. The record is from RNAcentral.